RNAcentral lists this ribosomal RNA (474 nucleotides) under uncultured bacterium. RNAcentral describes it as "bacterial SSU rRNA". It matches the Rfam family "Bacterial small subunit ribosomal RNA", at positions 27 to 518 of the family's 1533-position model. The record is from RNAcentral.
GGACGAACGCUGGCGGCGUGCCUAACACAUGCAAGUCGAGCGAGGAGAUCCUUCGGGAUGAUCCUAGCGGCGGACGGGUGAGUAACACGUGGGCAACCUGCCUCAUAGAGAGGAAUAGCCUUCCGAAAGGGAGAUUAAUACCUCAUAACAUUGCAGUUUCGCAUGGAACAGCAAUUAAAGGAGCAAUCCGCUAUGAGAUGGGCCCGCGGCGCAUUAGCUAGUUGGUGAGGUAACGGCUCACCAAGGCGACGAUGCGUAGCCGACCUGAGAGGGUGAUCGGCCACAUUGGGACUGAGACACGGCCCAGACUCCUACGGGAGGCAGCAGUGGGGAAUAUUGCACAAUGGGGGAAGCCCUGAUGCCAGCAACGCCGCGUGAGUGAUGACGGCCUUCGGGUUGUAAAGCUCUGUCUUCAGGGACGAUAAUGACGGUACCUGAGGAGGAAGCCACGGCUAACUACGUGCCAGCCGCGGC